UCUCCUUCAUGAAAGUGCUUCAGGUAAAUGCUAGAAUCAAGUCUUAGAUAUCUGGAUGCUCUUUUUCUUGAAGCAAUCUAUUCUCCUUUUUGUCAUUUGUUGUCUGCAGUUCAAUUUUUGAGAGCUUGGAAACUUAGAUUGGGUACCAGCACAAUGUAUUAGAAGGUCGAAUACAUCAUAUUCUGAAGACAUAAGGCCAUUCAAUUGUAAUAAACAUAAUUAGAGUCUGCAUCAG
Molecule: unclassified non-coding RNA, 235 nt
Filed under: Hevea brasiliensis (rubber tree)
Lineage: Eukaryota; Viridiplantae; Streptophyta; Magnoliopsida; Malpighiales; Euphorbiaceae
Source: RNAcentral